UUGAUAUGUUCACCCCAGCCGGUGACAAAUGUCUUUCUCUCCCCUGCCUGAGUCUAUCCUUGAUAUGUUCAUAUUAACCGAUGACAAAUAUUCUCAUUUGUGAUGUUCUACCCAGUAAAAAGGUAGUUGUAAUCCCUACUGUGUUUCCCAGAGAGUUAAUCCUUGAUAUGUUCAUCCUAACCGAUGACGGGUUUUCUUCUCUUUGUGGUAUCCUACCCAACAACCGGUAGUUGUAAACCCUACUUUUUCCCGCAGAGUUUAUCCUUG
RNAcentral lists this long non-coding RNA (267 nucleotides) under Lathyrus oleraceus (garden pea). Its description in RNAcentral is "Pisum sativum (pea) long non-coding RNA (PSAT_LNC005994)". The record is from RNAcentral. Lineage: Eukaryota; Viridiplantae; Streptophyta; Magnoliopsida; Fabales; Fabaceae.